UACAGAUCAUGUGUGUUCCUACCGCUGCAUGAUGAGAAGGGUCUCUAGCUAUGGCCCCUCGGCAAUCUCCCUACCCCCUACAUCAGAGAAGAUCUGGUUUUGAUCAUCGAUUGCCCAAGUGCCAGUCAAUUCUUCUUAUGUUUAUCACUAUCAACUAAAGGCUAAAACGAUGGUUUUUAGCCUGACCUUGCAUGCCCGAGUGGUACUUUAGUUUGCCUACAUAGACCAUGCUGCAACAAUGGCCAAGGCAACUUUGGUGUAUGCGAUGUUCCUUCUACACUUCUAUUGCUCCUGAGAACCUUGAGCGUUAGUUAUAACAAUAUAUUAUCCUAUUUUCCUGAUUGUAUAUGAGAGUUUGCUACUCCGUUCAUAAUGUAUGUGAUUUAUCUAAAUUUUAUCUUAUCGA
Lolium rigidum is the source of this 406-nucleotide long non-coding RNA. RefSeq lists it as uncharacterized. Lineage: Eukaryota; Viridiplantae; Streptophyta; Magnoliopsida; Poales; Poaceae. The transcript is spliced from 2 exons. The record is from RefSeq and is a predicted model, not a curated record.